Molecule: ribosomal RNA, 240 nt
Filed under: uncultured bacterium
Lineage: Bacteria
Description: partial 16S ribosomal RNA
Rfam family: Bacterial small subunit ribosomal RNA
Source: RNAcentral
UGGCGAACGGGUGGGUAACGCGUGAGGAACCUGCCUCAAAGAGGGGGACAACAGUUGGAAACGACUGCUAAUACCGCAUAAGCCCACGGGUCGGCAUCGAUCUGAGGGAAAAGGAGUGAUCCGCUUUGAGAUGGCCUCGCGUCCGAUUAGCUAGUUGGUGAGGUAACGGCCCACCAAGGCGACGAUCGGUAGCCGGACUGAGAGGUUGAACGGCCACAUUGGGACUGAGACACGGCCCAG